Molecule: ribosomal RNA, 562 nt
Filed under: uncultured bacterium
Lineage: Bacteria
Description: bacterial SSU rRNA
Rfam family: Bacterial small subunit ribosomal RNA
Source: RNAcentral
AUGAAUUGACGGGGGCCCGCACAAGCGGUGGAGCAUGUGGUUUAAUUCGAUGCAACGCGAAGAACCUUACCUGGUCUUGACAUCCACGGAAGUUUUCAGAGAUGAGAAUGUGCCUUCGGGAACCGUGAGACAGGUGCUGCAUGGCUGUCGUCAGCUCGUGUUGUGAAAUGUUGGGUUAAGUCCCGCAACGAGCGCAACCCUUAUCCUUUGUUGCCAGCGGUCCGGCCGGGAACUCAAAGGAGACUGCCAGUGAUAAACUGGAGGAAGGUGGGGAUGACGUCAAGUCAUCAUGGCCCUUACGACCAGGGCUACACACGUGCUACAAUGGCGCAUACAAAGAGAAGCGACCUCGCGAGAGCAAGCGGACCUCAUAAAGUGCGUCGUAGUCCGGAUUGGAGUCUGCAACUCGACUCCAUGAAGUCGGAAUCGCUAGUAAUCGUGGAUCAGAAUGCCACGGUGAAUACGUUCCCGGGCCUUGUACACACCGCCCGGCUCACCAUGGGAGUGGGUGCAAAAGAAGUAGGUAGCUUAACCUCGGGAGGGCGCUACCAUCUUUGGAUUA